RNAcentral lists this long non-coding RNA (752 nucleotides) under Daucus carota (carrot). Its description in RNAcentral is "long non-coding RNA (DCAR_LNC004967)". Lineage: Eukaryota; Viridiplantae; Streptophyta; Magnoliopsida; Apiales; Apiaceae. The record is from RNAcentral.
UGAAAGAAUGAGGAACCUCAAAAAGGGGCCGGUUUUGGGAAGCUUUUCCGUAAUUGCCUAAAUUUCUUUGCCAAGUAUUUGAUCAAAAGUAAAUGUGGGGUAUGAGCCAAUUCCUUUCAGCUCGUAAAAGUAAAUGUGGGGUAUGAGCCAAUUCCUUUCAGCUCGUUGACCUUUCUACUUUGGAUGAUGAGAAGUGCAUCUUCUUAUUCAUUCGUUCACAAGGGAGUUAAAGGGAUUAAUGAGUGAAGAUAAAAAAAAAUUAAUGACAUCUGGUUAAACUCUGUACUUAAUACAAAUAUAGCAGAAAAAGAUUAUGUACCUGCUAAAAAAAAUUAGAUUAAAAGAAGAAAUGAAACGUUAGAAUAAAGAGAAUGCCUAAAAAUGGAGAAAUUAUUAUCACGUGAAGGGAUUAUAAGUAAUAAAGUUGGAGAAGGUAGCUAUUUGUUUUCCUUCAACUUCUCUCGUCCAUUUGGGGUAAAAUUGAUGUUUAAUGAGCAGCUUGAAGUUCUGUAGUAGGCUUUAACUAGCUAGGCAUGGGACAGAAUUGAUGUUUCAUUCCGAUUUGGUGAUCGGAUAACAAAGGCUUGCAAUACUCUCUCCAACAUUCCUAAAAUGAAGUUACGUACUAGUGCCUUUUGUGGUAGAAUUGUACAGCAAAACAAAAACAAAAUAAAUAAAGUAAAGGACAGUCAGGGCCUCCUGCGAAAUCUAUCAAGUACAGUACUAAUUUGGGUACAAGUAAAAGAUGCUAU